This 254-nucleotide ribosomal RNA is filed under the name uncultured bacterium. RNAcentral's name for it is "partial 16S ribosomal RNA". It matches the Rfam family "Bacterial small subunit ribosomal RNA", at positions 524 to 776 of the family's 1533-position model. The record is from RNAcentral.
UACGUAGGGUGCGAGCGUUGUCCGGAAUUAUUGGGCGUGAAGAGCUCGUAGGCGGUCUGUCGCGUCGAUCGUGAAAACUUGGGGCUUAACCCUGAGCUUGCGGUCGAUACGGGCAUGACUGGAGUUCGGCAGGGGAGACUGGAAUUCCUGGUGUAGCGGUGAAAUGCGCAGAUAUCAGGAGGAACACCGAUGGCGAAGGCAGGUCUCUGGGCCACUACUGACGCUGAGAAGCGAAAGCAUGGGGAGCGAACAGG